GCUGGCGGCGUGCUUAACACAUGCAAGUCGUACGAGAAAUCUUCAGCUUGCUGAAGAGAGUAAAGUGGCGCACGGGUGAGUAACGCGUGGAUAAUCUGUCCUUGAAUCGGGGAUAACAUUGCGAAAGCGAUGCUAAUACCGGAUGAUAUCAUAAAGGCUUCGGCCUUAAUGAUCAAAGAUGACCUCUACCUGUAAGUUGUUGUUUGAGGAGGAGUCCGCGUACCAUUAGCUUGUUGGUAGGGUAACGGCCUACCAAGGCCACGAUGGUUAGCUGGUCUGAGAGGAUGAUCAGCCACACUGGAACUGACACACGGUCCAGACUCCUACGGGAGGCAGCAGUGAGGAAUUUUGCGCAAUGGGGGAAACCCUGACGCAGCAACGCCGCGUGAGUGAUGAAGGCUUUAGGGUCGUAAAGCUCUGUCAAGUGGGAAGAACCUAUCCGGAAUUAAUACGUUCGGGUACUGACGGUACCACUGAAGGAAGCACCGGCUAACUCCGUGCCAGCAGCCGCGGUAAUACGGGGGGUGCAAGCGUUAUUCGGAAUCAUUGGGCGUAAAGGGCACGCAGGCGGCCUGGUAAGUCAGAUGUGAAAGCCCGGGGCUUAACCCCGGAAGUGCAUUUGAAACUAUCAGGCCUUGAGUAUGGGAGAAG
This 651-nucleotide ribosomal RNA is filed under the name uncultured delta proteobacterium DSS12. RNAcentral describes it as "bacterial SSU rRNA". It matches the Rfam family "Bacterial small subunit ribosomal RNA", at positions 35 to 657 of the family's 1533-position model. Lineage: Bacteria; Deltaproteobacteria. The record is from RNAcentral.